RNAcentral lists this ribosomal RNA (1029 nucleotides) under Triticum aestivum (bread wheat). RNAcentral describes it as "partial small subunit ribosomal RNA". Lineage: Eukaryota; Viridiplantae; Streptophyta; Magnoliopsida; Poales; Poaceae. The record is from RNAcentral.
AUGUCUACGCCAACGACGAUGGGGAUUUUGUCACCGGCGGAUCGGAGCCACGACUCCUCUCUGAUCUCUGCAGAGAAAUCAACUCCGAAAUGCGGCGCCAGCGCGACCUUUCCCGCAGUCGCCCCUCCCUUCCUCCAUCAGCCACCGCCUCCACCCAGCGAGGACACCGAGCAGGCAGUGCGUAUUGAGGCCCCACCACCGCCAAGGCCUUUUCCACCUGUUUCUUCACUGAUGCCAACAAGAUUGCUCAUUAAAUAUUUUCUGAGGGUUGAUGCUGAUGGACUCUUUCACACAUAUCCUCGUCGAGGUGGUCCGUUUAAGAGCUUGAAAGAAGCUCAGGAUGCUAUAGACUCCCAUCACGCUAAUCUGUGUAAAUUCAAGUACAUGGGGGAUCUUUCAGAGGAGGAUGUCCAUGUGUGGCAGACCCUGUACUGGCCUAAUGGUACAAGGAUGAAUUCCAAACAAGCUUUGGAUGUGAUGAUGAACCGUCGCCCCAAAUGGGAUGUACUUAACGCUUUACUGGACAAGUACAAUGAGGACCAUCAUCUUUUUGGGGAUUUUGCAUAUGAAUUGAAGGAAAUUGUGAGUUACAAACCACAUUUUCAGGGAAGAAACUCUCCAUACAAAUGCAGAUCAUUCUCUCACUUAAAUUUGAUUGUCAAGAGUGGGUCGAGUGCCGUCGGCGAUCUUUUCUUCGCUGAAAUUACAUGUUUGAAGGAUGGCGAGUUGGAGGAAUAUGUGCUCAGCUGUAUAUGUGUUGUUACGCCAGAAGCUAACGGCGAGUACUGUGGAUGUGGAGAUGAUGUAAAGCACCCCACUGGUGUUGAGUACAAAAAGCGGGACAAGUUGCCUGUUCGGCGCAAUGGUUGUAGGCAAAUGUCAGAAGAAUUAUUCAAUGAGUUUAUUGUUGUUCGUGAUGAGGAUUGGCUGGAUGCAGAGGAGGCCAGGGUGAGACGAGAGUUUAGGAUGAGCAACAAAGGAGAUGGCCAGGGAAUGAGGGGCAGAUACGUCGUACCGGCAAAACGGUAG